Molecule: ribosomal RNA, 207 nt
Filed under: uncultured bacterium
Lineage: Bacteria
Description: partial 16S ribosomal RNA
Rfam family: Bacterial small subunit ribosomal RNA
Source: RNAcentral
UGCGUAGGCGGUUUACUAAGUCAGAUGUGAAAGCCCUGGGCUUAACCUGGGAACUGCAUUUGAUACUGGUAGGCUAGAGUAUGAUAGAGGGGGGUAGAAUUCCUGGUGUAGCGGUGAAAUGCGUAGAUAUCAGGAGGAAUACCAGUGGCGAAGGCGGCCCCCUGGAUCAAUACUGACGCUGAGGUACGAAAGCGUGGGUAGCGAACA